UGGGGAAUUUUGGACAAUGGGCGAAAGCCUGAUCCAGCCAUGCCGCGUGAGUGAAGAAGGCCUUCGGGUUGUAAAGCUCUUUCGGACAGAAAGAAAUCGCAUGGACUAAUACUCUGUGUGGAUGACGGUACUGUAAGAAGAAGCACCGGCUAACUACGUGCCAGCAGCCGCGGUAAUACGUAGGGUGCGAGCGUUAAUCGGAAUUACUGGGCGUAAAGGGUGCGCAGGCGGUUAUAUAAGACAGAUGUGAAAUCCCCGGGCUCAACCUGGGAACUGCGUUUGUGACUGUAUGACUAGAGUACGGUAGAGAGGGGUGGAAUUCCUGGUGUAGCAGUGAAAUGCGUAGAUAUCAGGAGGAACAUCGAUGGCGAAGGCAGCCCCUUGGACCUGUACUGACGCUCAUGCACGAAAGCGUGGGGAGCAAACAGGAUUAGAUACCCCCGUAGUCC
This 449-nucleotide ribosomal RNA is filed under the name uncultured bacterium. Its description in RNAcentral is "bacterial SSU rRNA". It matches the Rfam family "Bacterial small subunit ribosomal RNA", at positions 355 to 796 of the family's 1533-position model. The record is from RNAcentral.